GGAGGGCGCUUACCACUUUGUGAUUCAUGACUGGGGUGAAGUCGUAACAAGGUAACCGUAGGGGAACCUGCGGUUGGAUCACCUCCUUACCUGAAAGAA
This 99-nucleotide ribosomal RNA is filed under the name Escherichia coli. RNAcentral's name for it is "partial 16S ribosomal RNA". The stretch from base 1 to 89 matches the Rfam family "Bacterial small subunit ribosomal RNA", at positions 1445 to 1533 of the family's 1533-position model. RNAcentral also lists the same sequence under 1 other name. The record is from RNAcentral. Lineage: Bacteria; Pseudomonadati; Pseudomonadota; Gammaproteobacteria; Enterobacterales; Enterobacteriaceae.